UAACGCAUAUGUUUAGUGGUAUGGGCUUUAGAUCGGACAGUUUCUUUGGCCCUAAUCUAUUUUCGUGAUGUUGUGUGUUAUUCACUGAGAGCGUUAUGGUUUUUACAUGUUAAUCUCCAUUAAUUCAGACGAGUUCUUCAAUGGUUCUUUUAGAUCUGAUAGGCGGUAUAAAUAGAUGUGAGUAUUCUCCCCGCUCGAUGUGCUCAGAACUUCAAGCUUUCCAACUCCUCUUUACUGAUUCGGUUCAAUGAUUCAACCGAUUUUGACGAGUUCACCGAACCGGUCUAUCCGUUACCUGAAGAAGGAUCUCGGUUCCGUAACUAAAUCGAGAUGGUUGGAUUAGCUAACACAAACACACAGCUUCCAGAUAUUUUAGGAAAAGAUGGGCACAACUGGAGGAAGAAGAAAGAUGGUAAAAUGGUGAAAGAGGCUCACGAAAAGCUCAAGGGUAAUAGGAUAAGCUCCAGUGGAAUAAAAGAAAACAAUUCAAAUUCAUUGCUGUGAAUAUUGAUUCAACGGCAAACACAUCCAGAACAUUGUCACCACUAUGUGAAGAUGUUGAUUCUGGAAACCGAGAUGGUUGGAUUCAUGGGAAUAGAGUAAAAUAAAACAACUCCCAAAGAUUGAUGGGUGUCCCAGCAUUAGAUGCUUCCUUUGAGAAUCCGUUGGCAAGAUACCAGAACCUACCUUAUAAUCCUCUGUUGACUCAGGCAAAUCCUUCUAAUGCUGGAUUAGUGUCUGUGGAAGGGCAUCUCAGAAAUCCUCUUCAAAACCAAGAAAUUGGCAGAAUCCAGUUCAGGACAGCUUUCCACUGCAAAAAUGGCCCGUGGACUCCCAUGGUACUGACCUGGCCUUACAUGAGAAUUUCGAGACGUUUUCGAGUCUUAUCGACGGUCAAAACCAGCAGCAGCCUACCGGGAGUAGUUUUCAAGCUCCGUUUUCAUGGACCUGGACCUCUAGACUCUCUCUAUCGACCGUUUCUAUAAUCUUAGGCAUCGAUGUCUUGCUAGCGGUAACGUCCAAGCACGCUACGUGUGAGGAAUUCAGAAAUAUUUUCGAAAUGACAACCCAAUCGAUGGCAUGGUGAGCAAGCUGUCGGUCGUGCCUACCUCGACAUGCUUGGCUGGAGGGAGUCUCCAACUAAAUUAGACGGAUGCUAGAGGCGAAUUAAAUCUUCGCUUCAGGUAUUGCUGUUGCGACACUCCCGGUUUACACGGCGACUUACCAAGAGACAAGAACUGCUAUUACAUGUCACCGUAAUAAUAUUGGUCGAAGAUGCGAGCUGUGCUUCUACUUUAGACAGAUGCGAGGCUUUAAUAUUUAACAUAUUUAGACAGUCCAUUGCCUAUCAGAUGGAAAUUAGAAGGCCUUCCAUUCUAAAUGUCAACAACCAGAAACUUAUUUUAUAGCAAAAAAAAUGUUCGAAUAGAGACCAGUUAAAAUUAUCUAUAAAUUAAAUUUUAAAACA
Brassica napus (rape) is the source of this 1468-nucleotide long non-coding RNA. RefSeq lists it as uncharacterized. NCBI's taxonomy places the organism in Eukaryota, Viridiplantae, Streptophyta, Magnoliopsida, Brassicales, Brassicaceae. The record is from RefSeq and is a predicted model, not a curated record. The transcript is spliced from 6 exons.